RNAcentral lists this transfer RNA (74 nucleotides) under Tuber borchii (whitish truffle). RNAcentral describes it as "tRNA-Val". Lineage: Eukaryota; Fungi; Ascomycota; Pezizomycetes; Pezizales; Tuberaceae. The record is from RNAcentral.
GGUUUCGUGGUGUAGUUGGUUUUCACACCAGUCUAACAUGCUGGGGGUCCCCGGUUCAAGCCCGGGUGAAAUCA